CUGUCUGUCUGAAUAUAACUGUAUUCGCCCUGUCUGAAACGCACCGUUUUAGCGCCUGUCUCUUCAAGCCCCAUCCCAGUCUGUUCUGAUUGGUCAGCAUUUCCGAGUCUUCUGCAUUUGUGCUCUCAGAGCCUCUGCACUGUCAUUGCAGCCAGGGAAUGACUGUAGCGGCACUUUCUACGAUGAAAACC
Molecule: long non-coding RNA, 191 nt
Organism: Etheostoma cragini (Arkansas darter)
Lineage: Eukaryota; Metazoa; Chordata; Actinopteri; Perciformes; Percidae
Exons: 3
Source: RefSeq, a predicted model, not a curated record